GCGCAGCAGUCGCGAAAACUCCGCAAUGCACGAAAGUGUGACGGGGCUACCCCGAGUGCCGUCCGCUGAGGAUGGCUUUUCCUCGGUGUAACUAGCCGGGGGAAUAAGGGGAGGGCAAGACUGGUGUCAGCCGCCGCGGUAAUACCAGCUCUCCGAGUGGUAGGGAUGAUUAUUGGGCUUAAAGCGUCCGUAGCCGGCUUAGCAAGUCUCCUGUUAAAUUCAGCGACCUAAUCGUUGAGCCGCGGGAGAUACUACUAGGCUAGGAGGCGGGAGAGGCCGACGGUACUUCCGGGGUAGGGGUGAAAUCCUAUAAUCCCGGGCGGACCACCAGUGGCGAAGGCUGUCGGCUAGAACGCGCUCGACGGUGAGGGACGAAAGCUGGUGGAGUGAACCGGAUUAGAUACCCGGGUA
This 411-nucleotide ribosomal RNA is filed under the name uncultured crenarchaeote. RNAcentral describes it as "partial 16S ribosomal RNA". It matches the Rfam family "Archaeal small subunit ribosomal RNA", at positions 330 to 743 of the family's 1478-position model. Lineage: Archaea; Thermoproteati; Thermoproteota. The record is from RNAcentral.